Molecule: ribosomal RNA, 518 nt
Filed under: uncultured bacterium
Lineage: Bacteria
Description: bacterial SSU rRNA
Rfam family: Bacterial small subunit ribosomal RNA
Source: RNAcentral
AGAAUUUAGCAGAGAUGCUUUAGUGCCUUCGGGAACUCUGAGACAGGUGCUGCAUGGCUGUCGUCAGCUCGUGUUGUGAAAUGUUGGGUUAAGUCCCGCAACGAGCGCAACCCUUAUCCUUUGUUGCCAGCGGGUCAUGCCGGGAACUCAAAGGAGACUGCCAGUGAUAAACUGGAGGAAGGUGGGGAUGACGUCAAGUCAUCAUGGCCCUUACGAGUAGGGCUACGCACGUGCUACAAUGGCGCAUACAAAGAGAAGCGACCUCGCGAGAGCAAGCGGACCUCAUAAAGUGCGUCGUAGUCCGGAUUGGAGUCUGCAACUCGACUCCAUGAAGUCGGAAUCGCUAGUAAUCGUAGAUCAGAAUGCUACGGUGAAUACGUUCCCGGGCCUUGUACACACCGCCCGUCACACCAUGGGAGUGGGUUGCAAAAGAAGUAGGUAGCUUAACCUUCGGGAGGGCGCUUACCACUUUGUGAUUCAUGACUGGGGUGAAGUCGUAACAAGGUAAGCGUACGUGU